GAAGACAGGAAAAUAACCCAACUUUUUCUUUUUUAAUCCUGCUACUGUGAUAAUGACAGAGGAAGAAAGACGUCAAUUACUUAUUCCAACAAUGAUGUCUUGUGUUUGCAGGUCACCAGCACUGGGAGGUAAACCAGAGUCCUUCCGUUUUUUUUUUUGCCGCGUCUUUGUCUCUGAGGGGGGAUGGAACACUGUCUGAACUUUCCUAAUCGUCAUCUGAGUCCAAUUUCCUCAAAUUGACCCUUUGGAAGUUGUCUUUGAAGGACCAACUGUACGACAUAGUUUGAACUUCACGAAGGUGUCGGUCCUCAAGAACGUGUAGAUGGAAACCCGUGAAGCGAGCAGCAGCCGGUGGCUCCCGCCUGUCAGAUGAAAGAAGACAUAAUCCAUAAGAAAAGGGGGGUGAAACCAGAGCGUCGUUCUCACCAUUCACGGGUCUAAAUUGGCUGUCAAAGUGUACCAACUUGUCGGAAUAUGUCCUCAUCCUUCUACUAUCCAGGAUGGAAAGGCCGCCGUUGGCUGGAAGUUGAUGGAGGAGGUGGACAUUGUUGCUCACUCCGGAGAUUUAGGAGGUAGGUCUUCCCACUUUCUUGACAACACAUGAGCGUGUGUGGGAGUGUUCCCUCAACUAAAGGGAGGAAAAAUAAUGAGCGAGAGGGAGCCAUUGGAAUAACGGCUAACAAGGGAAAGGGGGCAACUCAGGAGGUCGACCACAAAAUUCAACCAACAUGGAGUCUUUUUUUUUCUUCUUUCCCAGCGCUGAUAAAAUUCCACUUAACCC
Molecule: long non-coding RNA, 781 nt
Organism: Entelurus aequoreus (snake pipefish)
Lineage: Eukaryota; Metazoa; Chordata; Actinopteri; Syngnathiformes; Syngnathidae
Exons: 4
Source: RefSeq, a predicted model, not a curated record